CCUACGGGAGGCUGCAGUAGGGAAUAUUGGACAAUGGAGGAAACUCUGAUCCAGCCAUCCCGCGUGAAGGAUUAAGGUCCUAUGGAUUGUAAACUUCUUUUCUUUGGGAAUAAAAUCUCCGAUUCCUCGGAGCUUGAAGGUACCAGGGGAAUAAGCACCGGCUAACUCCGUGCCAGCAGCCGCGGUAAUACGGAGGGUGCAAGCGUUAUUGGGUUUCAAGGGGGCUAAGGGGUGCUUGGAAGGUUUUGUAGAAAGCCUACAGCUUAACUGUAGAAUUGCCAUUGAUACUGCUUAACUUGAAUCAAGUCGAAGUGGAUGGAAUAGAUCAUGUAGCGGUGAAAUGCUUAGAUAUGAUUUAGAACACCAAUUGCGAAGGCAGUUCACUAGGCUUGUAUUGACACUGAGGCACGAAAGCGUGGGGAUCAAACAGGAUUAGAUACCCUAGUAGUC
This 450-nucleotide ribosomal RNA is filed under the name uncultured bacterium. Its description in RNAcentral is "partial 16S ribosomal RNA". It matches the Rfam family "Bacterial small subunit ribosomal RNA", at positions 338 to 795 of the family's 1533-position model. The record is from RNAcentral.